GUCGAACGCGAAAGUCCCCUUCGGGGGGCAAGUAGAGUGGCGCACGGGUGAGUAACACGUAGGUAAUCUACCUUUGGAUGGGGAAUAACAACCGGAAACGGUUGCUAAUACCGCAUAAUGCAGCGGCACCUAAUGGUGACAGUUGUUAAAGCGGGGGAUCGAAAGACCUCGCGUCUGAAGAGGAGCCUGCGGCGGAUUAGCUAGUUGGUAAGGUAAUGGCUUACCAAGGCUACGAUCCGUAACCGGCCUGAGAGGGCGGUCGGUCACACUGACACUGACAUACGGGUCAGACUCCUACGGGAGGCAGCAGUCGGGAAUUUUGGGCAAUGGGCGAAAGCCUGACCCAGCAACGCCGCGUGAAGGAUGAAAUCCCUCGGGAUGUAAACUUCGCAAGAACAGGAAGAAUAAGUAGGGGACAAUACCCCCUAUGAUGACGGUACUGUUUGUAAGCUCCGGCUAACUCCGUGCCAGCAGCCGCGGUAAUACGGGGGGAGCAAGCGUUGUUCGGAUUUACUGGGCGUAAAGGGCGCGUAGGCGGCCACCGCAAGUCAGUUGUGAAAUCUCUGGGCUUAACCCAGAAAGGUCAACUGAUACUGCGGGGCUAGAGUGCAGAAGGGGCAACUGGAAUUCUCGGUGUAGCGGUGAAAUGCGUAGAUAUCGAGAGGAACACUGCGGCGAAGGCGGGUUGCUGGGCUGACACUGACGCUGAAGCGCGAAAGCUAGGGGAGCGAACGGGAUUAGAUACCCCGGUAGUCCUAGCCUUAACGAUGAAUGCU
This 776-nucleotide ribosomal RNA is filed under the name uncultured bacterium. RNAcentral's name for it is "bacterial SSU rRNA". It matches the Rfam family "Bacterial small subunit ribosomal RNA", at positions 61 to 817 of the family's 1533-position model. The record is from RNAcentral.